GUAGGGGGCAAGCGUUAUCCGGAUUUACUGGUUGUAAAGGGAGCGUAGACGGCAUAGCAAGUCUGACGUGAAAGGCAUGGGCUCAACCCGUGGACUGCUUUGGAAACUGUUAAGCUGGAGUGCAGGAGAGGUAAGUGGAAUUCCUAGUGUAGCGGUGAAAUGCGUAGAUAUUAGGAGGAACACCAGUGGCGAAGGCGGCUUACUGGACUGUAACUGACGUUGAGGCUCGAAAGCGUGGGGAGCAAA
This 246-nucleotide ribosomal RNA is filed under the name uncultured bacterium. Its description in RNAcentral is "partial 16S ribosomal RNA". It matches the Rfam family "Bacterial small subunit ribosomal RNA", at positions 527 to 772 of the family's 1533-position model. The record is from RNAcentral.